Molecule: ribosomal RNA, 259 nt
Filed under: uncultured bacterium
Lineage: Bacteria
Description: partial small subunit ribosomal RNA
Rfam family: Bacterial small subunit ribosomal RNA
Source: RNAcentral
AGGACGAACGCUGGCGGCGUGCUUAACACAUGCAAGUCGAACGGUGAAGCCCCUUCGGGGGUGGAUCAGUGGCGAACGGGUGAGUAACGCGUGAGCAACCUGCCCUUGACUCUGGGAUAACUCCGGGAAACCGGAGCUAAUACCGGAUACGACACGCGAAGGCAUCUUCUGCGUGUGGAAAGAUUUAUCGGUCAAGGAUGGGGCUCGCGGCCUAUCAGCUUGUUGGUGGGGUAAUGGCCUACCAAGGCGACGACGGGUA